GACCCCAGGUCAGGCGGGACUACCCGCUGAGUUUAAGCAUAUCAAUAAGUGGAGGAAAAGAAACUUACAGGGAUUCCCCUAGUAACGGCGA
Molecule: ribosomal RNA, 91 nt
Filed under: Bryonia cretica
Lineage: Eukaryota; Viridiplantae; Streptophyta; Magnoliopsida; Cucurbitales; Cucurbitaceae
Description: partial 25S ribosomal RNA
Rfam family: Eukaryotic large subunit ribosomal RNA
Source: RNAcentral